Molecule: long non-coding RNA, 1318 nt
Organism: Pyrus x bretschneideri (Chinese white pear)
Lineage: Eukaryota; Viridiplantae; Streptophyta; Magnoliopsida; Rosales; Rosaceae
Exons: 5
Source: RefSeq, a predicted model, not a curated record
UUAACAGUGCUCCACCGGUUUUGCCCCUCUUUCUCUUCAUGUUUUUUCAGCUUUAGUGGGGUUGAAUGGUGAAUUGGCCACUUUGCCCCUCUCUCAUUUUUCUUUCCGUCCGUGCGUGCGUGUUGUGUUUUCUAGGGUUCCAGCUUUUUCCACUUUUAUCUGCUACUGCGUGUUAGUUCCACGUGUUGGUCAUCGGGAUCAUUUGGCCCUUAAUGUCAGGAUUUCUAUUUGCUUCCAGUGGCUUCCAAUCGCUUCCAAUUGCUUUCAUUUGCUUCAUCUCUCCUGGAAUGAAAAAAAAAAAACCUGCGUUCAUCCAACCUUAGAAUCCCGAAACCAAAAUUCAUCCAGAUCGUUCCAAUCUCCAACGGCAAAUCGAAAUAUCCAGUCGCUUGAUUCUCUAUCUAAAAUACGCACUCAUCGUUGCCUUAUCACAACAAUAUCGGCUAUUCGGGUUUUUUGCCCAGCGUUUUCUUUGUUUUUUCGCGCUCUACGUCUGGUUGUUAUCUCUGAUUUUGCAUUUUGGUUGCAGGAAACAUUUUUCUUCAAGUUUUAGGCUUUUAUUCUUCCUAGCUUUUUCUGGGUCAGGAAAUAUUGGUGUUUGAAGAAAUUAAGGCUUAGCAAAGUGUGACUACCUAUGCUUGAAUUAAUGUUGAAGUUUUGAGCUCAAUUAGAUUAAAGUGCAUAGAACAUCCAUAGAAGUGUUUCCACUCAGCGUGGAUAAGACAAGUAAGAAGUGAUACUCCCAUUGAAAACUUAUCUGCAAAAUAAAUUUUGCUCUGUGGUUACAUGUUGCAUUGGUGCAUAGUUUCACAACUGAACUAUAAGAAAUUGGCUAUCGUAUUUUCUAAAAUUUCAAUUGUUAAAGGAGUUGUUAAAGAAUAUGCUGACUUAGGAGAUAAAAGUUAUAAGUGUGUUCAUUGUGGUGCUUAUUUUUGGCUAAAAGAGUCUCUUAAACCAAAGUGUAAAAACGAUCUACCUGUUUUCACUCUUUGUUGCCAACAAGGAAAAAUUAAGUUUCCAAAUCCAAAACCAGCACCACCAUUUUUAGAUUACUUACUUGAUCCAACUAAAGGGCAAAAAAAUUUAUCAUUUCGACAAAAUAUUAGAACUUAUAACUCAAUGUUUGCAUUCACUUCAAUGGGAGCCAAAGUUGAUAACUCAAUUAACAAUGGAUCAAGCCCUUAUAUUUUCAAAAUCAGUGGUCAAGUUUGUCAUUUAAUGGGAUCUCUUUUGCCUGUUGAUAAUGAGUCUCCAAAAUUUGCUCAAUUGUAUGUCUAUGAUACAUAUAAUGAGGUGGAAAAUCGACUUAAAGUUUUUA